RNAcentral lists this ribosomal RNA (670 nucleotides) under uncultured bacterium. RNAcentral's name for it is "bacterial SSU rRNA". It matches the Rfam family "Bacterial small subunit ribosomal RNA", at positions 56 to 718 of the family's 1533-position model. The record is from RNAcentral.
UGCAGUCGAGCGGUAGCACAGGGAGCUUGCUCCUGGGUGACGAGCGGCGGACGGGUGAGUAAUGUCUGGGAAACUGCCUGAUGGAGGGGGAUAACUACUGGAAACGGUAGCUAAUACCGCAUAACGUCUACGGACCAAAGUGGGGGACCUUCGGGCCUCAUGCCAUCAGAUGUGCCCAGAUGGGAUUAGCUAGUAGGUGGGGUAAUGGCUCACCUAGGCGACGAUCCCUAGCUGGUCUGAGAGGAUGACCAGCCACACUGGAACUGAGACACGGUCCAGACUCCUACGGGAGGCAGCAGUGGGGAAUAUUGCACAAUGGGCGCAAGCCUGAUGCAGCCAUGCCGCGUGUGUGAAGAAGGCCUUCGGGUUGUAAAGCACUUUCAGCGAGGAGGAAGGGUUCAGUGUUAAUAGCACUGUNCAUUGACGUUACUCGCAGAAGAAGCACCGGCUAACUCCGUGCCAGCAGCCGCGGUAAUACGGAGGGUGCAAGCGUUAAUCGGAAUUACUGGGCGUAAAGCGCACGCAGGCGGUUUGUUAAGUCAGAUGUGAAAUCCCCGCGCUUAACGUGGGAACUGCAUUUGAAACUGGCAAGCUAGAGUCUUGUAGAGGGGGGUAGAAUUCCAGGUGUAGCGGUGAAAUGCGUAGAGAUCUGGAGGAAUACCGGUGGCGA